This 637-nucleotide long non-coding RNA is filed under the name Homo sapiens (human). RNAcentral's name for it is "non-protein coding lnc-KIF3C-3:1". Lineage: Eukaryota; Metazoa; Chordata; Mammalia; Primates; Hominidae. The record is from RNAcentral.
ACAGAGCCCAGCACCUCCUUCCCCUCCCGGGGUCUCCCGCUGGACUGCGCUGCGGUUUCUCUGCACAGCGCUUGUCGGGUGUGUUGAGCUGGAGGUCUUGGCGCAGCGACGGGCUUGGGUGGCCAUGUGUUCCCGUUUGCAGUAUGCAUGCUGCUGACCUUCCAUUCUCAGGGACAUCCAUCCCUCAAAGCACACCUAGGUGUGAUGGCACAGGAGUUGAACCUGGUGAGCUGGUUCAACCUGAUAAAGUGGAAAACGCUGAAGUAUGUGGAAAACAAGAAACAGGGAUAGAGAAGUAAAAACUACAUUUUCACACACACCACCCCAAGAUCGCCAAAUCACCAAAAUGUGUAUUUGAUAUGUAAUUAAAGUUAGACUUUCAGGCAAUUCCGUCUUACAUUUCUGUCUUAUAUUUCUGUCUUACAUUUUUCCUUUCUUCUCAACCACCCCUAAAGCGUCCUUACCGAAGAUACUUGUCUUCACUAAUACAGCUUUCUCUUCAGUUGUUUUCUCCAAUUGCUCCUAGUCUUGUCACUUAAACAUUUUUUUUUUUUGAGACAGACUCUCACUCUACCACCCAUGCUGGAGUGCAGUGGCACAAUCUCGGCUUACUGCAGCCCUUCCGGGUUCAAGUGAU